UACGUAGGGGGCAAGCGUUAUCCGGAUUUACUGGGUGUAAAGGGAGCGUAGACGGCGAUGCAAGCCAGAUGUGAAAGCCCGGGGCUCAACCCCGGGACUGCAUUUGGAACUGUAUAGCUAGAGUGUCGGAGAGGCAGGCGGAAUUCCUAGUGUAGCGGUGAAAUGCGUAGAUAUUAGGAGGAACACCAGUGGCGAAGGCGGCCUGCUGGACGAUGACUGACGUUGAGGCCCGAAAGCGUGGGGAGCAAACAGG
RNAcentral lists this ribosomal RNA (253 nucleotides) under uncultured bacterium. RNAcentral describes it as "partial 16S ribosomal RNA". It matches the Rfam family "Bacterial small subunit ribosomal RNA", at positions 524 to 776 of the family's 1533-position model. The record is from RNAcentral.